RNAcentral lists this ribosomal RNA (642 nucleotides) under uncultured organism. RNAcentral describes it as "bacterial SSU rRNA". It matches the Rfam family "Bacterial small subunit ribosomal RNA", at positions 861 to 1501 of the family's 1533-position model. The record is from RNAcentral.
UAAGUAUCCCGCCUGGGGAGUACGCACGCAAGUGUGAAACUCAAAGGAAUUGACGGGGGCCCGCACAAGCGGUGGAGGAUGUGGUUUAAUUCGAUGCAACGCGAAGAACCUUACCAGGGCUUGACAUCCCGCGAAUCUCGGUGAAAGCCGAGAGUGCCUUCGGGAGCGCGGAGACAGGUGGUGCAUGGCUGUCGUCAGCUCGUGUCGUGAGAUGUUGGGUUAAGUCCCGCAACGAGCGCAACCCUCGUCCUUAGUUGCCAGCCUUAAGUGGGGCACUCUAGGGAGACUGCCGGUGACAAACCGGAGGAAGGUGAGGAUGACGUCAAGUCAGCAUGCCCCUUAUGCUCUGGGCAACACACGUCCUACAAUGGUCGGGACAAAGGGGAGCGAGCUCGCGAGAGUCAGCAAAUCCCAGCAAACUCGGCCUCAGUUCAGAUGGCAGGCUGCAACUCGCCUGCCUGAAGGAGGAAUCGCUAGUAAUCGCUGGUCAGCAUACAGCGGUGAAUUCGUUCCCGGGCCUUGUACACACCGCCCGUCACACCAUGGAAGCUGGCCAAGCCCGAAGUCGUUACCCUAACCGUGCGCGGAGGGGGGCGCCGAAGGCUGGGCUGGUGACUGGGGUGAAGUCGUAACAAGGUAACC